CAGUAGCCACGGUAAUACGAAGGGGGCUAGCGUUGCUCGGAAUCACUGGGCGUAAAGGGUGCGUAGGCGGGUCUUUAAGUCAGAGGUGAAAUCCUGGAGCUCAACUCCAGAACUGCCUUUGAUACUGAGGAUCUUGAGUUCGGGAGAGGUGAGUGGAACUGCGAGUGUAGAGGUGAAAUUCGUAGAUAUUCGCAAGAACACCAGUGGCGAAGGCGGCUCACUGGCCCGAUACUGACGCUGAGGCACGAAAGCGUGGGGAGCAAACAGGAUUAGAUACCCCUGUAGUCCCUGUCUCUUAUAC
RNAcentral lists this ribosomal RNA (301 nucleotides) under uncultured bacterium. RNAcentral's name for it is "partial 16S ribosomal RNA". It matches the Rfam family "Bacterial small subunit ribosomal RNA", at positions 509 to 807 of the family's 1533-position model. The record is from RNAcentral.